RNAcentral lists this ribosomal RNA (483 nucleotides) under uncultured bacterium. Its description in RNAcentral is "bacterial SSU rRNA". It matches the Rfam family "Bacterial small subunit ribosomal RNA", at positions 28 to 494 of the family's 1533-position model. The record is from RNAcentral.
GAUGAACGCUAGCGGCAGGCUUAAUACAUGCAAGUCGAGGGGCAUCAAGGUACACGAAAGUGUAUUGUUGGCGACCGGCGGACGGGUGAGUAAUAGGUAGGUAACCUACCUCAUACUGAGGCAUAGCUGGGAGAAAUUCCAGGUAAUUCCUCAUGAGGUUAUAUGACACAUGUGAUAUAAUCAAAGGUAUCGCAAGGUACUGGUAUGAGAUGGGCUUACUGACCAUUAGCUAGUUGGUGAGAUAAGAGCUCACCAAGGCGAAGAUGGUUAGGGGUUUGAGAGAGAGAUCCCCCACAUUGGAACUGAGAUACGGUCCAGACUCCUACGGGAGGCAGCAGUAGGGAAUAUUGGGCAAUGGGCGGAAGCCUGACCCAGCCAUGCUGCGUGAAGGAAGGCGGCCUUAUGGGUUGUAAACUUCUUUACUAUGCGACUAACUAGAUUUACGAGAUAAUUCUAUAGAAUGUAGCAUAGACAAAAAGCACC